UACAAGCGGUCGGAGCAGUAUCUUCGAUACUGUGACGGCGUACUUUUUGCAUAACGGGCCAGCGAGUCGCUGGUGUCUGGCGAGGUUAAGCAGUAGCGAGCCGAAGCGAAAGCGAGUGUGAACAGCGCGUACAGUCAGAUGCCGCGGACCCGAAACCGAGUGAGCUAUCCAUGGCCAGGCUGAAGCGGGGGUAAGACCUCGUGGAGGGCCGAACCGACCUGGGUUGAAAACCGGGCGGAUGAGCUGUGGAUCGGAGUGAAAGGCUA
This 266-nucleotide ribosomal RNA is filed under the name Chloropicon mariensis. Its description in RNAcentral is "partial Bacterial large subunit ribosomal RNA". It matches the Rfam family "Bacterial large subunit ribosomal RNA", at positions 565 to 831 of the family's 2925-position model. Lineage: Eukaryota; Viridiplantae; Chlorophyta; Chloropicophyceae; Chloropicales; Chloropicaceae. The record is from RNAcentral.